AACAGAAGCCACUGGGAGCAGCCAGCUGAAUGGUAGCCUACUGAAGAUCAAAAUCAUACCUUCCUUUGCUAAAUGUGGAGAGGAGAAAUGGAUUAACUAGGGAGCGCUUUGUACAGUGCUCUAGACACAGUAAACCCCCAGUAAAGACCAUUGAUGACGAUAAUGCCGAGACCUUCAUGAGGAUCAUCAUGCAGAUAUCUUCACUGAUGAGACGAUGAUGGGGCAAGCGUCCACCAACUCUGUUCUACCGUUCUCUCCCAAGCGCCUAGUAAAGUGAUCAGCGCACGGUAAGUACCUAAUAAAUAUGACUGAUUGAUCUUCUAACCCACAGAAUUUAUUAUUAAUAUUAUUAUAAUUCUUAAUAAUAUUUGGCACCAGUCCACGUGGUCUCUCCCGGUCAGCCCU
This 405-nucleotide long non-coding RNA is filed under the name Ornithorhynchus anatinus (platypus). RNAcentral describes it as "lncRNA (ENSOANG00000049522.1)". The record is from RNAcentral. Lineage: Eukaryota; Metazoa; Chordata; Mammalia; Monotremata; Ornithorhynchidae.